CCUACGGGGGGCAGCAGUGAGGAAUAUUGGUCAAUGGGCGCGAGCCUGAACCAGCCAAGUAGCGUGAAGGAUGACUGCCCUACGGGUUGUAAACUUCUUUUAUAAAGGAAUAAAGUGAGGCACGUGUGCCGUUUUGCAUGUACCUUAUGAAUAAGGAUCGGCUAACUCCGUGCCAGCAGCCGCGGUAAUACGGAGGAUCCGAGCGUUAUCCGGAUUUAUUGGGUUUAAAGGGAGCGUAGGUGGGUUGUUAAGUCAGUUGUGAAAGUUUGCGGCUCAACCGUAAAAUUGCAUUUGAUACUGGCAGCCUUGAGUACAGUAGAGGUAGGCGGAAUUCGUGGUGUAGCGGUGAAAUGCUUAGAUAUCACGAAGAACUCCGAUUGCGAAGGCAGCCUGCUGGACUGCAACUGACGCUGAUGCUCGAAAGUGUGGGUAUCAAACAGGAUUAGAUACCCUUGUAGUC
This 460-nucleotide ribosomal RNA is filed under the name uncultured bacterium. Its description in RNAcentral is "partial 16S ribosomal RNA". It matches the Rfam family "Bacterial small subunit ribosomal RNA", at positions 338 to 795 of the family's 1533-position model. The record is from RNAcentral.